This 176-nucleotide ribosomal RNA is filed under the name Paratettix meridionalis. RNAcentral describes it as "partial 18S ribosomal RNA". It matches the Rfam family "Eukaryotic small subunit ribosomal RNA", at positions 1656 to 1831 of the family's 1831-position model. The record is from RNAcentral. Lineage: Eukaryota; Metazoa; Arthropoda; Insecta; Orthoptera; Tetrigidae.
GCUUUUGUACACACCGCCCGUCGCUACUACUGAUUGAAUGAUUUGGUGAGGUCUUCGGACUGGUGCGCGGCUUCGACUCUGUUCGUAGCCGAUGUUUCUGGAAAGAUGACCAAACUUGAUUAUUUAGAGGAAGUAAAAGUCGUAACAAGGUAGGCGAACCUGUGGAAGGAUCAUUA